GCCCCGGUAGCUCAGUGGACAAGAGCAGAGGACUUCUAAGCCUAAGGUCGCAGGUUCGAAUCCUGCCCGGGGUACCA
Molecule: transfer RNA, 77 nt
Filed under: Candidatus Microsaccharimonas sossegonensis
Lineage: Bacteria; Candidatus Saccharimonadota; Candidatus Saccharimonadia; Saccharimonadales (SeqCode); Saccharimonadaceae (SeqCode)
Description: bacterium AMD02 tRNA-Arg
Rfam family: tRNA
About the family: Transfer RNA (tRNA) molecules are approximately 80 nucleotides in length. Their secondary structure includes four short double-helical elements and three loops (D, anti-codon, and T loops). Further hydrogen bonds mediate the characteristic L-shaped molecular structure. tRNAs have two regions of fundamental functional importance: the anti-codon, which is responsible for specific mRNA codon recognition, and the 3' end, to which the tRNAs corresponding amino acid is attached (by aminoacyl-tRNA synthetases). tRNAs cope with the degeneracy of the genetic code in two manners: having more than one tRNA (with a specific anti-codon) for a particular amino acid; and 'wobble' base-pairing, i.e. permitting non-standard base-pairing at the 3rd anti-codon position.
Source: RNAcentral